This 492-nucleotide ribosomal RNA is filed under the name uncultured bacterium. RNAcentral describes it as "partial 16S ribosomal RNA". It matches the Rfam family "Bacterial small subunit ribosomal RNA", at positions 29 to 507 of the family's 1533-position model. The record is from RNAcentral.
AUUGAACGCUGGCGGCAUGCUUUACACAUGCAAGUCGAACGGUAACAGGCCUUCGGGUGCUGCCGAGUGGCGAACGGGUGCGUAAUGCAUCGGAACGUACCCAGAGGUGGGGGAUAACGCAGCGAAAGCUGUGCUAAUACCGCAUGUGAUCUGAGGAUGACAGCGGGGGACCGAGCAGCAAUGUUUGGCCUCGCGCCUUUGGAGCGGCCGAUGUCGGAUUAGCUAGUUGGUGGGGUAAAGGCCUACCAAGGCGACGAUCCGUAGCUGGUCUGAGAGGACGACCAGCCACACUGGGACUGAGACACGGCCCAGACUCCUACGGGAGGCAGCAGUGGGGAAUUUUGGACAAUGGGCGCAAGCCUGAUCCAGCAAAGCCGCGUGCGGGAAGAAGGCCUUCGGGUUGUAAAGCGCUUUUGGCAGGAACGAAACGGUGUCCGCUAAUACCGGGCGCUAAUGACGGUACCUGCAGAAUAAGCACCGGCUAACUACGUG